This is a long non-coding RNA of Protopterus annectens (West African lungfish), 215 nucleotides long. RefSeq lists it as uncharacterized. The transcript is spliced from 2 exons. The record is from RefSeq and is a predicted model, not a curated record. NCBI's taxonomy places the organism in Eukaryota, Metazoa, Chordata, Ceratodontiformes, Protopteridae.
GAAACCGUAACAGAGUCUCAGCAAGCCUAUCAGGCUGCUUUUGAAAUUAGUAAAAAGGAGAUGCAACCUACACAUCCCAUCAGGCUUGGACUGGCACUUAACUUUUCUGUGUUUUAUUAUGAAAUACUUAACUCUCCCGAGAAAGCCUGCAACUUGGCAAAGACUGCAUUUGAUGAAGCUAUUGCUGAGCUGGACACACUGAAUGAAGAUUCGUA